UAAGAGGUCCCGCCUGCCCUGUGACUACAAGUUUAACGGCCGCGGUAUCUUGACCGUGCAAAGGUAGCGCAAUCACUUGUCUUUUAAUUGGAGACCUGUAUGAAUGGCACCACGAGGGCUUAGCUGUCUCCUUUUUCAAGUCAAUGAAAUUGAUCUCCCCGUGCAGAAGCGGGGAUAUACUCAUAAGACGAGAAGACCCUAUGGAGCUUUAGAUACCAAGACAGAUCACGCCAAACACCCUUAAAUAAAAGACCAAGCAAAAUGAGCCCUGUCCUAAUAUCUUUGGUUGGGGCGACCGCGGGGAAUACAAAUCCCCCACGUGGAAUGGGAAUACCUCCUCCUACAACUAAGAGCUACCGCUCUAGUAAACAGAUACUUCUGACCAAUAAGACCCGGCAAUGCCGAUCAACGGACCGAGUUACCCUAGGGAUAACAGCGCAAUCCCCUUUUAGAGCCCUUAUCGACGAGGGGGUUUACGACCUCGAUGUUGGAUCAGGACAUCCUAAUGGCGCAGCCGCUAUUAAGGGUUCGUUUGUUCAACG
RNAcentral lists this ribosomal RNA (542 nucleotides) under Howella brodiei (pelagic basslet). RNAcentral's name for it is "partial 16S large subunit ribosomal RNA". It matches the Rfam family "Bacterial large subunit ribosomal RNA", at positions 1846 to 2586 of the family's 2925-position model. Lineage: Eukaryota; Metazoa; Chordata; Actinopteri; Acropomatiformes; Howellidae. The record is from RNAcentral.